GGCCGACUAGCUCAGUUGGUUAGAGCGUGGUGCUAAUACUUUAAUGUUACGCCAAGGUCGUCGGUUCGACCCCGGCGUUGGCCA
This is a non-coding RNA of Heliocybe sulcata, 84 nucleotides long. The record is from the annotation of a GenBank genome assembly. NCBI's taxonomy places the organism in Eukaryota, Fungi, Basidiomycota, Agaricomycetes, Gloeophyllales, Gloeophyllaceae.